Molecule: ribosomal RNA, 460 nt
Filed under: uncultured bacterium
Lineage: Bacteria
Description: partial 16S ribosomal RNA
Rfam family: Bacterial small subunit ribosomal RNA
Source: RNAcentral
CCUACGGGUGGCUGCAGUGAGGAAUAUUGGUCAAUGGGCGCGAGCCUGAACCAGCCAAGUAGCGUGAAGGAUGACUGCCCUACGGGUUGUAAACUUCUGUUAUAAAGGAAUAAAGUGAGGCACGUGUGCCUUUUUGUAUGUACUUUAUGAAUAAGGUUCGGCUAACUCCGUGACAGCAGCCGCGGUAAUACGGAGGAUCCGAGCGUUAUCCGGAUUUAUUGGGUUUAAAGUGAGCGUAGAUGGGUUGUUAAGUCAGUUGUGAACGUUUGCGGCUCAACCGUAAAAUUGCAAUUGAUACUGGCAGCCUUGAGUACAGUUGAGGUAGGCGGAAUUCGUGGUGUAGCGGUGAAAUGCGUAGAUAUUAGGAGGAACACCGGUGGCGAAGGCGGCUUACUGGACUGUAACUGACGUUGAGGCUCGAAGGCGUGGGGAGCAAACAGGAUUAGAUACCCGUGUAGUC